This 230-nucleotide ribosomal RNA is filed under the name uncultured bacterium. RNAcentral's name for it is "partial 16S ribosomal RNA". It matches the Rfam family "Bacterial small subunit ribosomal RNA", at positions 109 to 339 of the family's 1533-position model. The record is from RNAcentral.
AGUAACGCGUAUGCAACCUACCUUACACUGGGGGAUAGCCCGAAGAAAUUCGGAUUAAUACCCCAUAGUAUUAUCGAGAGGCAUUUUUUGAUAAUUAAAGCUCCGGCGGUGUAAGAUGAGCAUGCGUCCCAUUAGUUAGUUGGUAAGGUAACGGCUUACCAAGACAGCGAUGGGUAGGGGCCCUGAGAGGGGGAUCCCCCACACUGGUACUGAGACACGGACCAGACUCC